This is a small nuclear RNA of Callithrix jacchus (white-tufted-ear marmoset), 107 nucleotides long. NCBI's taxonomy places the organism in Eukaryota, Metazoa, Chordata, Mammalia, Primates, Cebidae. The record is from Ensembl.
GUGCUCACUUCGGCAGCACAUGUACUAAAAUUGGAACAAUACAGACAAGAUUAGCACGGCCCCUGCACAAGGAUGACACGCAAAUUCGUGAAGUGUUCCAUAUAUUU